RNAcentral lists this ribosomal RNA (253 nucleotides) under uncultured bacterium. RNAcentral's name for it is "partial 16S ribosomal RNA". It matches the Rfam family "Bacterial small subunit ribosomal RNA", at positions 524 to 776 of the family's 1533-position model. The record is from RNAcentral.
UACGAAGGGGGCUAGCGUUGCUCGGAAUGACUGGGCGUAAAGGGAGCGUAGGCGGACAGUUAAGUCAGAGGUGAAAGCCCAGGGCUCAACCCUGGAAUUGCCUUUGAUACUGAUUGUCUUGAGUAUGGGAGAGGUAUGCGGAACUCCGAGUGUAGAGGUGAAAUUCGUAGAUAUUCGGAAGAACACCAGUGGCGAAGGCGGCAUACUGGCCCAUUACUGACGCUGAGGCUCGAAAGCGUGGGGAGCAAACAGG